RNAcentral lists this ribosomal RNA (388 nucleotides) under Quasipaa spinosa (Chinese spiny frog). Its description in RNAcentral is "partial 12S ribosomal RNA". It matches the Rfam family "Bacterial small subunit ribosomal RNA", at positions 794 to 1394 of the family's 1533-position model. Lineage: Eukaryota; Metazoa; Chordata; Amphibia; Anura; Dicroglossidae. The record is from RNAcentral.
GCCCAUCCGUAAAAUAUUAAUUCACACCACCAACGCCAGGGUAUUACAAGCCUUAGCUUAAAACCCAAAGGACUUGACGGUGUCCCAUCCACCUAGAGGAGCCUGUUCCAUAAUCGAUAAUCCCCGCUAUACCUAACCACCCCUUGCCAAUCAGUCUGUAUACCUCCGUCGUAAGCUUACCAUAUGAAUGCUUACAGUAAGUUUAAUGGCCACAAGCACCAAUACGUCAGGUCAAGGUGCAGCUUAUGAGAUGGUGGACAAUGGGCUACAGUUUCUAUAAUAGAACAAACGAAACGCUGCAUGAAACACAGCCACGAAGGCGGAUUUAGUAGUAAAAAGAAAAUAGUGUGUUCUUUUUAACUAGGCCCUGGGACGUGUACACACCGCC